UAAGGAAUAUUGGUCAAUGGACGCAAGUCUGAACCAGCCAUGCCGCGUGCAGGAAGACGGCCCUAUGGGUUGUAAACUGCUUUUGUCGGGGAAGAAACCCACCUACGUGUAGGUGGCUGACGGUACUCGAAGAAUAAGGAUCGGCUAACUCCGUGCCAGCAGCCGCGGUAAUACGGAGGAUCCAAGCGUUAUCCGGAUUUAUUGGGUUUAAAGGGUGCGUAGGCGGCGUUGUAAGUCAGUGGUGAAAGUUUUCAGCUUAACUGGAAAAUUGCCAUUUGAUACUGCAGUGCUUGAGUAUAGAUGAGGUGGGCGGAAUGUGUCAUGUAGCGGUGAAAUGCAUAGAUAUGACACAGAACACCGAUUGCGAAGGCAGCUCACUAAACUAUAACUGACGCUGAGGCACGAAAGCGUGGGGAUCAACACAGGAUUAGAUACCC
This 437-nucleotide ribosomal RNA is filed under the name Bacteroidetes bacterium SCGC AAA028-G19. Its description in RNAcentral is "bacterial SSU rRNA". It matches the Rfam family "Bacterial small subunit ribosomal RNA", at positions 355 to 787 of the family's 1533-position model. The record is from RNAcentral. Lineage: Bacteria; Pseudomonadati; Bacteroidota.